This 447-nucleotide long non-coding RNA is filed under the name Homo sapiens (human). RNAcentral describes it as "non-protein coding lnc-HMBOX1-5:3". The record is from RNAcentral. Lineage: Eukaryota; Metazoa; Chordata; Mammalia; Primates; Hominidae.
AGGCAGAAGGCUGUGAUGGGGAAAGGAGCACAUGGACAGGCAUUAAGGUAGGUGAACUGACCAUAUUUAGAAUCUCAGUUAUCAGUCCAUCAGUGAACAUCUGGAGACUUUGGACUUUUCACCGGUUAUACAUCCUUCUAUUGCAAUAUAAUAGCAUCCAGCCCAAGACAGGACAAAGUUUCUCGUGAUCAAUUUACAGACAAGAUAAUGUCCUAUUACUUGAUAGCUAAUGAAUUUUCCUCAUCUGAUCAGUCUAGUAGUAAGCCAACUUCCAAUGGGACCUGGGGAGACCAUGAAAGAAGUAAUGGUUAGGAAAGAGCAUGGACUUUAGGGUCCAAGUUGCUGAAUUUCAUGUCCUGUUCUUUUACUUACUGUCUGUGCAGUCUUGAACAAGAUACUCUUUCCAAGAUUUCACUUCUCUUAAUCUGUAAAUUGAGCAUAAUGAUA